Molecule: long non-coding RNA, 439 nt
Filed under: Homo sapiens (human)
Lineage: Eukaryota; Metazoa; Chordata; Mammalia; Primates; Hominidae
Description: HSALNT0145505
Source: RNAcentral
GCCGCCUGCAGGUCCCAGGGGACGGAACCCAAGCCCGAAUGAGACCCACUUCCUAGCGGGAUGCCCGGAGGGCGAGGCCAGGCCCCCUCACCAUUCUUUUCGGUGAGCAGCCCAGGGUCUGGGACAUCAUAGCCAUCCGCAUCAUACAGGUCCGAGUCCAGAACUAGGUUGUAGCCUUCUGCCUCCCACACCUCUGCCUCCAUUUCAGCAACUGCGGUCCCAGAGCCCAACAGCUCCCAGGACUUAGCGGUCACGGCCCGCAGCGGCAGUUGCUAGGAUACCAGAUGCCGCCGGCCACUCCCACACCGCAGGCCCCACCCCCACACCGCAUCAGGUCCACACUAAGUCACAGAAACUUUUAUUGGAAAGAAACGAGCUGCAGCAAAGUGACACUCAGUGCACGCGGCCAAAUGGGCGAGGUGGGGGUACAGGUGGGCAC